ACAUUGGGAACCGAUGCUAAUACCGGAUGUGCCGAGAGGUGAAAGGCUUGCUGCCUGAAGAAGAGCUCGCGUCUGAUUAGCUAGUUGGUGGUGUAAGGGACUACCAAGGCGACGAUCAGUAGCUGGUCUGAGAGGAUGAUCAGCCACACUGGAACUGAGACACGGUCCAGACUCCUACGGGAGGCAGCAGUGGGGAAUUUUCCGCAAUGGGCGAAAGCCUGACGGAGCAAUACCGCGUGAGGGAGGAAGGCUCUUGGGUUGUAAACCUCUUUUCUCAAGGAAGAAGUAAUGACGGUACUUGAGGAAUCAGCAUCGGCUAACUCCGUGCCAGCAGCCGCGGUAAUACGGAGGAUGCAAGCGUUAUCCGGAAUGAUUGGGCGUAAAGCGUCCGCAGGUGGUUGUGUGUGUCUAUUGUCAAAGCAUCAUGCUUAACAUGAUAAAGGCAGUAGAAACUACACGACUAGAGUGCGUUCGGGGCAGAGGGAAUUCCUGGUGUAGCGGUGAAAUGCGUAGAGAUCAGGAAGAACACCGGUGGCGAAAGCGCUCUGCUAGGCCGCAACUGACACUGAGGGACGAAAGCUAGGGGAGCGAAUGGGAUUA
RNAcentral lists this ribosomal RNA (600 nucleotides) under Fischerella thermalis NK1-1. Its description in RNAcentral is "bacterial SSU rRNA". It matches the Rfam family "Bacterial small subunit ribosomal RNA", at positions 146 to 780 of the family's 1533-position model. Lineage: Bacteria; Bacillati; Cyanobacteriota; Cyanophyceae; Nostocales; Hapalosiphonaceae. The record is from RNAcentral.